GGCGCUGUGGAGGCCCUUGCAGGGAUGCUGAGGGACGGACGCCCGAGAGGGAAGAAGGAUGCUGUGACUGCGCUCUUCAAUCUCUCAACUCACCCAGAUUGCUGCCAGCUGAUGGUGGAGUCGGGGGCUGUUUCGGCGUUGGUGGGUGCGUUGGAGGUGGAUGGAGUGGCAGAGGAUGCAGCGGGUGCGUUGGGCCUGCUU
RNAcentral lists this unclassified non-coding RNA (201 nucleotides) under Hevea brasiliensis (rubber tree). Lineage: Eukaryota; Viridiplantae; Streptophyta; Magnoliopsida; Malpighiales; Euphorbiaceae. The record is from RNAcentral.